RNAcentral lists this transfer RNA (66 nucleotides) under marine eukaryotic metagenome. It matches the Rfam family "tRNA". Rfam says of the family: Transfer RNA (tRNA) molecules are approximately 80 nucleotides in length. Their secondary structure includes four short double-helical elements and three loops (D, anti-codon, and T loops). Further hydrogen bonds mediate the characteristic L-shaped molecular structure. tRNAs have two regions of fundamental functional importance: the anti-codon, which is responsible for specific mRNA codon recognition, and the 3' end, to which the tRNAs corresponding amino acid is attached (by aminoacyl-tRNA synthetases). tRNAs cope with the degeneracy of the genetic code in two manners: having more than one tRNA (with a specific anti-codon) for a particular amino acid; and 'wobble' base-pairing, i.e. permitting non-standard base-pairing at the 3rd anti-codon position. The record is from RNAcentral.
AGAAUAGCUCAAUUGGCAGAGCAACGGUCUCCAAAGCCGUAGGUUAAGGGUUCGAGUCCCUUUUCU